UGUUGCCUACGGGGCGCAGCAGUCGGGAAUAUUGCGCAAUGGAGGAAACUCUGACGCAGUGACGCCGCGUAUAGGAAGAAGGUUUUCGGAUUGUAAACUAUUGUCGUGAGGGAAGAAGAUGACAGUACCUCAGGAGGAAGCUCCGGCUAACUAUGUGCCAGCAGCCGCGGUAAUACGUAGGGGGCAAGCGUUAUCCGGAUUUACUGGGUGUAAAGGGAGCGUAGACGGCGAUGCAAGUCUGAAGUGAAAGGCGGGGGCCCAACCCCCGGACUGCUUUGGAAACUGUAUGGCUGGAGUGCAGGAGG
This 305-nucleotide ribosomal RNA is filed under the name uncultured bacterium. Its description in RNAcentral is "bacterial SSU rRNA". It matches the Rfam family "Bacterial small subunit ribosomal RNA", at positions 333 to 655 of the family's 1533-position model. The record is from RNAcentral.